AGUGAACGCUGGCGGUAGGCCUAACACAUGCAAGUCGAACGGCAGCACCGUAAGAGCUUGCUCUUACGGGUGGCGAGUGGCGGACGGGUGAGGAAUACAUCGGAAUCUACUUUUUCGUGGGGGAUAACGUAGGGAAACUUACGCUAAUACCGCAUACGACCUACGGGUGAAAGCAGGGGAUCUUCGGACCUUGCGCGAUUGAAUGAGCCGAUGUCGGAUUAGCUAGUUGGCGGGGUAAAGGCCCACCAAGGCGACGAUCCGUAGCUGGUCUGAGAGGAUGAUCAGCCACACUGGAACUGAAACACGGUCCAGACUCCUACGGGAGGCAGCAGUGGGAAAUAUUGGACAAUGGGCGCAAGCCUGAUCCAGCCAUACCGCGUGGGUGAAGAAGGCCUUCGGGUUGUAAAGCCCUUUUGUUGGGAAAGAAAAGCAGCAGGUUAAUACCCCGCUGUUCUGACGGUACCCAAAGAAUAAGCACCGGCUAACUUCGUG
Molecule: ribosomal RNA, 492 nt
Filed under: uncultured bacterium
Lineage: Bacteria
Description: partial 16S ribosomal RNA
Rfam family: Bacterial small subunit ribosomal RNA
Source: RNAcentral